RNAcentral lists this ribosomal RNA (433 nucleotides) under uncultured bacterium. Its description in RNAcentral is "partial 16S ribosomal RNA". It matches the Rfam family "Bacterial small subunit ribosomal RNA", at positions 29 to 507 of the family's 1533-position model. The record is from RNAcentral.
AACGAACGCUGGCGGCAUGCCUAACACAUGCAAGUCGAACGAGACCUUCGGGUCUAGUGGCGCACGGGUGCGUAACGCGUGGGAACCUGCCCUUAGGUUCGGAAUAACUCCCCGAAAGGGGUGCUAAUACCGGAUAAUGUCUUCGGACCAAAGAUUUAUCGCCUUUGGAUGGGCCCGCGUUGGAUUCGCUAGUUGGUAGGGUAAAAGCCUACCAAGGCGACGAUCCAUAGCUGGCCUGAGAGGAUGAUCAGCCACACUGGGACUAAGACACGGCCCAGACUCCUACGGGAGGCAGCAGUGGGUAAUAUUGGACAGUGGGCGAAGGCCUGAUCCAGCAGUGCCGCGUGAGUGAUGAUGGCAUUAGGGUUGUAAAGCUCUUUUACCCGGGAUGAUAAUGACAGUACCGGGAGAAUAAGCACCGGCUAACUCCGUG